GUAUCCGUAGCUCAGUUGGUAGAGCAAUUGACUCUUAAUCAAUGGGUCGUGGGUUCGAGCCCCACCGGGUAUA
Molecule: transfer RNA, 73 nt
Filed under: Bacteroidales bacterium
Lineage: Bacteria; Pseudomonadati; Bacteroidota; Bacteroidia; Bacteroidales
Also listed under: 5 other names
Description: tRNA-Lys
Rfam family: tRNA
About the family: Transfer RNA (tRNA) molecules are approximately 80 nucleotides in length. Their secondary structure includes four short double-helical elements and three loops (D, anti-codon, and T loops). Further hydrogen bonds mediate the characteristic L-shaped molecular structure. tRNAs have two regions of fundamental functional importance: the anti-codon, which is responsible for specific mRNA codon recognition, and the 3' end, to which the tRNAs corresponding amino acid is attached (by aminoacyl-tRNA synthetases). tRNAs cope with the degeneracy of the genetic code in two manners: having more than one tRNA (with a specific anti-codon) for a particular amino acid; and 'wobble' base-pairing, i.e. permitting non-standard base-pairing at the 3rd anti-codon position.
Source: RNAcentral